UACGGAGGGGACUAGCGUUGUUCGGAAUUACUGGGCGUAAAGCGCACGUAGGCGGUCUUUUAAGUCAGGGGUGAAAUCCCGGAGCUCAACUCCGGAACUGCCUUUGAUACUGGCGAUCUUGAGUUCGAGAGAGGUGAGUGGAACUGCGAGUGUAGAGGUGAAAUUCGUAGAUAUUCGCAAGAACACCAGUGGCGAAGGCGGCUCACUGGCUCGAUACUGACGCUGAGGUGCGAAAGCGUGGGGAGCAAACAGG
Molecule: ribosomal RNA, 253 nt
Filed under: uncultured bacterium
Lineage: Bacteria
Description: partial 16S ribosomal RNA
Rfam family: Bacterial small subunit ribosomal RNA
Source: RNAcentral